This 107-nucleotide small nucleolar RNA is filed under the name Zea mays. RNAcentral's name for it is "Small nucleolar RNA snoR100". It matches the Rfam family "Small nucleolar RNA snoR100". Lineage: Eukaryota; Viridiplantae; Streptophyta; Magnoliopsida; Poales; Poaceae. The record is from Rfam by way of RNAcentral.
AAAAGAAGGAAGCAUGGUAGUGUGCACGGAGAUUAGCUGGUCUGCAUGUCUGCUCGACGUGACGCCUUCGGGCUUUGAUCGUGCGGGCCUGGAUUCGACCCACAUUU